Suricata suricatta (meerkat) is the source of this 429-nucleotide long non-coding RNA. RefSeq lists it as uncharacterized. The transcript is spliced from 3 exons. The record is from RefSeq and is a predicted model, not a curated record. NCBI's taxonomy places the organism in Eukaryota, Metazoa, Chordata, Mammalia, Carnivora, Herpestidae.
UGGCUCUCAGUCCAACACAAGUGAGGUUUUCUUGUCAAGCUUCACUGAAAUCACACUUUGAAGGGUCAUGAUUUUCUUUUUUUGUUUUGUUGUGAUUUUUUAUUUUAUUUUAAAGAAGAUCGCAAAAACAAAGCAGAAAAGGAAAGCCCAAAGACAGAAGAAAGAUAUUUAAACAAUGGAGGAGAAAUAUUGGAAUCCCUGGAACUCACCCCCAUCAGAGUAUGCCUCCUGGAAGUCUUGUAUCUCCACCAUUAAAGUGCUCUGGAAGAAAUUACAAAGAUUUUCCACACCAGAAGUCCAAAAGUCAAGCUACAUUCAAAAAGAGAAACAACAAAUUGGAUACCCAAGUUCUGAAGAGCCAGAAAUCCUUUAAAGGAUAGGACAUGUGCAGAUGAAACCUAACUAUUAAAAAUUUUCUGCAGAAAAAAA